RNAcentral lists this transfer RNA (84 nucleotides) under Polyangiaceae bacterium. Its description in RNAcentral is "tRNA-Leu". It matches the Rfam family "tRNA". From Rfam's summary of the family: Transfer RNA (tRNA) molecules are approximately 80 nucleotides in length. Their secondary structure includes four short double-helical elements and three loops (D, anti-codon, and T loops). Further hydrogen bonds mediate the characteristic L-shaped molecular structure. tRNAs have two regions of fundamental functional importance: the anti-codon, which is responsible for specific mRNA codon recognition, and the 3' end, to which the tRNAs corresponding amino acid is attached (by aminoacyl-tRNA synthetases). tRNAs cope with the degeneracy of the genetic code in two manners: having more than one tRNA (with a specific anti-codon) for a particular amino acid; and 'wobble' base-pairing, i.e. permitting non-standard base-pairing at the 3rd anti-codon position. The record is from RNAcentral. Lineage: Bacteria; Pseudomonadati; Myxococcota; Polyangiales; Polyangiaceae.
GCCGGAAUGGCGAAAUCGGUAGACGCAGGGGACUUAAAAUCCUCCGCCCUCACGGGUAUGCGGGUUCGACUCCCGCUUCCGGCA